AGAACGAACGCUGGCGGCAGGCUUAACACAUGCAAGUCGAACGCACUCUUCGGAGUGAGUGGCAGACGGGUGAGUAACGCGUGGGAACGUACCUUUCGGUUCGGAAUAACCCAGGGAAACUUGGGCUAAUACCGGAUACGCCGGAAACGGGAAAGAUUUAUUGCCGAAAGAUCGGCCCGCGUCGGAUUAGCUAGUUGGUGGGGUAAUGGCCUACCAAGGCGACGAUCCGUAGCUGGUCUGAGAGGAUGAUCAGCCACACUGGGACUGAGACACGGCCCAGACUCCUACGGGAGGCAGCAGUGGGGAAUAUUGGACAAUGGGCGCAAGCCUGAUCCAGCAAUGCCGCGUGAGUGAUGAAGGCCUUAGGGUGUAAGCUCUUUACCCGGAUGAUAAUGACAGUACCGGAGAAUAAGCCCGCUAACUCGUGCCAGCAGCCGAC
Molecule: ribosomal RNA, 439 nt
Filed under: uncultured soil bacterium
Lineage: Bacteria
Description: bacterial SSU rRNA
Rfam family: Bacterial small subunit ribosomal RNA
Source: RNAcentral